GGUCGUAUAGCUCAGUUGGUUAGAGCGUGGUGCUAAUAGCUCAGCUGUUUGGAACGCCAAGGUCGUGAGUUCGACCCUCGCUAUGACCU
Non-coding RNA from Polyplosphaeria fusca, 89 nucleotides. The record is from the annotation of a GenBank genome assembly. NCBI's taxonomy places the organism in Eukaryota, Fungi, Ascomycota, Dothideomycetes, Pleosporales, Tetraplosphaeriaceae.